GUGUUACAGCCUGUAACACACAUGAUAAACUGGGAACAAUACAGAGAAGAUUAGCAUGGCCCCUGUAUGCAAGGAUGACACGCACAAUUGUGGAGCGUUCUCACUUUUU
This is a small nuclear RNA of Seriola dumerili (greater amberjack), 109 nucleotides long. Lineage: Eukaryota; Metazoa; Chordata; Actinopteri; Carangiformes; Carangidae. The record is from Ensembl.